Long non-coding RNA from Trachymyrmex cornetzi, 704 nucleotides. RefSeq lists it as uncharacterized. The record is from RefSeq and is a predicted model, not a curated record. The transcript is spliced from 2 exons. Lineage: Eukaryota; Metazoa; Arthropoda; Insecta; Hymenoptera; Formicidae.
AGAUUAAUUUGCAUUAAUUAUCCUUGAAAGAGAUGAGAAAUUAUUUAUCGCAUAAGUAUUUGAUUUAUUCAUUGAUAAAUCAUAAUGCAUGCCACAAUAUGGACAAGCUAUUAUAAAAUACGUGAAAAGGCUAUAACUUACCCCAAAGCUUUCACAUAAACUACACAGAAUCUUAAGUGUACUGGACAAACACUAAGCAUAUAUAUAUUUUAAGCGCUAUAACAAUAUAUCUUAGAUUCUUCGGUACGAAAUUUAAUUUCUACUAAUUCUCAAGAUAAUAAAUCACCGUUCAUCAUGUGGAAACAAGAGGAAUAAUGAGGACAACGACGAUAAUCUCGUAUAAGUACAAUGUUUAUUAAUAAUAAGUGAUGUGCACAUAAAAAAUUACAGUAUACUGAAAUACUGACGGAUCGCAUUCCCGGCCCAUGGACACACAUCAUAAAUGUUAAAAUAAUACAUGAAUCGAUCGCGGAAAAAAGAUAGGAGAUAGCACGUAAUCGUUUACGUUUUUUAUUUUUACACAUCGUAAAUUCUCACGAAAAAUAUGUCGCGUUUCUAGGUUACCAUAUUGUAAAGAGCAUUUUUAUGAUAUAACAUCACAAUCUAACAAUAAAUAAAGGAAUAUGAAGAGAAUGCAUCUGUAACAGAGAAAGAAUAACAAGAGCUUUUACUACUUGUCCACGUUUAUUAUAUUGCUUAUUUGA